AAAAUCCGUUGACUUUAGAAAUCGUGAGG
RNAcentral lists this transfer RNA (29 nucleotides) under Allophylus sp. Acevedo-Rodriguez 14847. Its description in RNAcentral is "partial tRNA-Leu". Lineage: Eukaryota; Viridiplantae; Streptophyta; Magnoliopsida; Sapindales; Sapindaceae. The record is from RNAcentral.